This 233-nucleotide ribosomal RNA is filed under the name uncultured Lactobacillus sp. Its description in RNAcentral is "partial 16S ribosomal RNA". It matches the Rfam family "Bacterial small subunit ribosomal RNA", at positions 128 to 356 of the family's 1533-position model. Lineage: Bacteria; Bacillati; Bacillota; Bacilli; Lactobacillales; Lactobacillaceae. The record is from RNAcentral.
GCCCAAGAGAUCGGGAUAACACCUGGAAACAGAUGCUAAUACCGGAUAACAACAGAUGAUGCCUAUCAACUGUUUAAAAGAUGGUUCUGCUAUCACUCUUGGAUGGACCUGCGGUGCAUUAGCUAGUUGGUAGGGUAACGGCCUACCAAGGCGAUGAUGCAUAGCCGAGUUGAGAUACUGAUCGGCCACAUUGGGACUGAGACACGGCCCAAACUCCUACGGAGGCAGCAGCG